CGUAAGCCCGCAGGGUGAGUAGAGUGGCGCACGGGUGAGUAACACGUAAGUAAUCUGCCCUCGAGCGGGGGAUAACGUUCCGAAAGGGACGCUAAUACCGCAUGACCCGGUAGGGACCCAGGUCCCAGCCGGCAAAGAUGGCCUCUGCUUGCACGCUAUCGCUUGAGGAGGAGCUUGCGCCCCAUUAGGUAGUUGGUGAGGUAAUGGCUCACCAAGCCUACGAUGGGUAGCCGGCCUGAGAGGGUAACCGGCCACACUGGCACUGAGACACGGGCCAGACUCCUACGGGAGGCAGCAGUGAGGAAUUUUGGGCAAUGGGCGAAAGCCUGACCCAGCGACGCCGCGUGGGUGAUGAAGGCCUUCGGGUCGUAAAACCUGUGAGUUGGGAAGAAGCCGUUGCGUGCUAAUACCACGUCGCGGUGACAGUACCAACAGAGGAAGCCCCGGCUAACUACGUGCCAGCAGCCGCGGUAAUACGUAGGGGGCUAGCGUUGUUCGGAAUUACUGGGCGUAAAGCGCGUGUAGGCGGCUUGGCAAGUCGGAAGUG
This 547-nucleotide ribosomal RNA is filed under the name uncultured bacterium. RNAcentral's name for it is "bacterial SSU rRNA". It matches the Rfam family "Bacterial small subunit ribosomal RNA", at positions 67 to 596 of the family's 1533-position model. The record is from RNAcentral.